RNAcentral lists this ribosomal RNA (484 nucleotides) under uncultured bacterium. RNAcentral's name for it is "bacterial SSU rRNA". It matches the Rfam family "Bacterial small subunit ribosomal RNA", at positions 29 to 507 of the family's 1533-position model. The record is from RNAcentral.
AUUGAACGCUGGCGGAAUGCUUUACACAUGCAAGUCGAGCGGCAGCGCGGGGGCAACCCUGGCGGCGAGCGGCGAACGGGUGAGUAACAUAUCGGAACGUACCCAUCGGUGGGGGAUAACUAUCCGAAAGGAUAGCUAAUACCCGCAUACGUCCUGAGGGGAGAAAGCGGGGGAUCGCAAGACCUCGCGCGAUUGGAGCGGCCGAUAUCGGAUUAGCUAGUUGGUGGGGUAAAGGCUCACCAAGGCGACGAUCCGUAGCGGGUCUGAGAGGACGACCCGCCACACUGGAACUGAGACACGGUCCAGACUCCUACGGGAGGCAGCAGUGGGUAAUUUGGACAAUGGGGCAACCCUGAUCCAGCCAUUCCGCGUGAGUGAAGAAGGCCUUCGGGUUGUAAAGCUCUUUCAGCAGGAACGAAACGGUGGUCCCUAAUACGGACUACUAAUGACGGUACCUGAAGAAGAAGCACCGGCUAACUACGUG